This 256-nucleotide ribosomal RNA is filed under the name uncultured archaeon. Its description in RNAcentral is "partial 16S ribosomal RNA". It matches the Rfam family "Bacterial small subunit ribosomal RNA", at positions 521 to 776 of the family's 1533-position model. The record is from RNAcentral.
UAAUACGGAGGGAGCUAGCGUUGUUCGGAAUUACUGGGCGUAAAGCGCACGUAGGCGGCUUUUUAAGUCAGAGGUGAAAUCCCGGGGCUCAACCCCGGAACUGCCUUUGAAACUGGGAAGCUAGAAUCUUGGAGAGGCGAGUGGAAUUCCGAGUGUAGAGGUGAAAUUCGUAGAUAUUCGGAAGAACACCAGUGGCGAAGGCGACUCGCUGGACAAGUAUUGACGCUGAGGUGCGAAAGCGUGGGGAGCAAACAGG